AGUGCAGACGUCAGAGUGAAGCAGCAGGAGCCCGCAGAUCGGAAAACGCUUACAGUUCAUCCAAGUCCCUUGGAGGCCAUUUCACCUUUUUCAACCAUUUGGCUUACAGUUCGUUCAAGUGCAGCCAAUUUCUUGGGGGCCAUUUCACCUUUAUCAACC
This is a long non-coding RNA of Danio aesculapii, 159 nucleotides long. RefSeq lists it as uncharacterized. The record is from RefSeq and is a predicted model, not a curated record. The transcript has 3 exons. NCBI's taxonomy places the organism in Eukaryota, Metazoa, Chordata, Actinopteri, Cypriniformes, Danionidae.